AAACCUGAUGCUAUCAGAAACUUCUUUGCAACAAAGUCAAUAGGCUAAGACAAUAGGUGCUGGAGCCCUUAGCACAGAUUGGUUUAAUUUGACCUGUGUGAUCAGGUUGUAUCUGGAUCUUGCCAUUCAGAAUUAUUGGCUUAUGUCAUUGAGUUUUGACCGAUCAGAUCCGAGUAUAUAAUACAGCUCAGUGAUCACUGAGAAAGCUGGGUAAUAAAUCAAGGUGGAAGAGAAAACAUUACAGCCCAGAGUGCAAAACACAGAGUUGAAAUAGAAAUAGAGCACAGUUCAGGUGAAGAGCUGCAGAAAUACGGUUUAAAGAGACAACCAACUCUGUAUCAUAAAGGUGCAAGUCAUCAAAAUAAUGCGUGUAAUCUUUGUAUAAGAUCACAUUAACACUCCUCCAUUACACAUGAAAACAACAGAGGAUGCACCUUUCAGAGAGUCUUUACCUGCUGGUGCAUAAAGAUAUGACAAUACAGAAGUGAGUAAAAUAGAUAGGCUCUGUACACUAAGAGCAUAUCCUGUCAGAUGAUUAAAUCCCCUCAAUACAAAAUCAGGACAAACAUGACAGCCAAAGUCACAAAGCAUGAAUGAGUGAACGCCAUCAGAGAGUGAAGAUGACGGGAAACAUCUAUACUGUAUUCCCAGUGGGAGGGGAUGAAACAGCCUCAAUCAGAAGAUGGAGGGACAUUACCAUAAAAGGGGGAGGAUGGACGGCCAAACAGGACGCUCUGGAUGUCAGUGUGUGGAUCAUUGUCACACAGAAGAGGCUCCGUUUAAUUAUGUUACAGGGUUUACUAUUUCAGUUAAAGCAGGAGGGGGCAGAGAAGAAAGGAUGAGAGGGAGGGACGAAAAGAGAAGGAGAGGAGUGUUAGAGUAAUGAGGUUAAAGCGGCAGAGAGAGCAGGAAGGUGGACUGUGAAAGGCUAAUGAAUACAGUCCUUUACUUUUUACUGGUAGUUUUGUUUCAUUUAUUGCAAACAGAAAUCAAACAGUAGAUAAUUUCAUGAAUACAGAGACAGAUAUUCCUUUACUUUCAUGUCAAAUUAGCCUGGGACCACAAGAAAAUAUGACAUAUGACUGUCCUGGUUAUUUUUGCAACAACUUAUUUGGCCUUUAUUACCUUUUUUUUCUGCAGAAAUAUCCAGCUGUUAUUGUGAGUAAUACCCGAGAAAAUAUGGUGAUCUGGGGCAUUUUAUGAAAGUUAUAAAGUUAAUUUUCUGUGGCAGCAGAGACAUCACCUUUAUAUCAAAAAGUACCACUGUUUUCAUCUGCUUAUGGUUGUGAUUAAGAUGACAUUAUAUGGUUAAAAAAAAAAAAAAAGAUAACAAUUCACAACAAUGAGCUGCUUUUUACCUCACAUAGGUUAAAAAAAUCACUAUUUGAAGCACAGCAAAAUUUGUUUUUUAAAGUUGAACAUAUGAUGAGAUUGAAGCUAAUGAAUCAAAAUAGACUAUUUCAGUUUUACUCUUCAGUAUAUCAGCACUGCAACUGAACUGACAAGUAGAUCACUAUAAAUCAGUAGACCCAUAGAUCAAUACUCAGAUUGGAUCAAAUAAACUCAUGUCUUCUAAGUCUGCUUGAAAUCCAGGAGUCAUGAUCAAUGACCAGCGAACCUUCAGGGUUCAUGUUGCUUUGAUUGCUCAGUCCUGCAGGUUUGCCCUCUAUAACAGAAAGCAUAUCAGACCCUACCUGACAGAACAGGCAACGCAGACUCAUGUAAUAUCCCCUAACUCCUUACUGGCAAGCCUCCCUGCAUGCACAGUUAAACCUCUGCAGAUGAACCAGAAUGCAGCAGCACCUCUGGUCUUCAACAAGGCCAAGACAGCUCAUGUCACUCCUCUGUUCAUCUCCCUUGACUGGCUUCCAGUCACAGCUCUCAUCAAAUUCACAACUCUAAUAAUUGCUUACAAAGCAAUAACCCAAACUGCUACUGUUUACCUAUAGCCCCUCAUCCAUGUCUACACCCUUUUAGCCCGCUUCGCUCAGGCACAAAAAGGCGCCUAGUACCUCCAGCACAUCAGGACCCUAAAUCACUUGCCCUACUCUUCUCUUCUGUUGUCCAGAAAUGGUGGGAUGAAUUACCCAACACCAUUAAAUCCACAGAGUCCCUCUCUUCAUUCAAAAGACAGCUAAAGACCCAGCUCUUUAGAGAACACGAGAGACUGGACUCGUCUCCACUGUUGUCCUCAGUGGUUCAAUGAGUCUUCCAGCUACAGCUGAUUCUCACUGUCCUGCUCCACUUCUGACAUUUUUGUGCCCAGCACUUGGUACUUUGGUCAUUAUUGUUGUGACAAGUUAUUGAUUAUUGGUUAUGAGGAGAGGUCUUACAUUGAUGAUUGGUUGCUUCAUUGUUGAUGUUCAUCCAAAAAUUAAAAAAAAAAAAAAGCUUCCACACACUUUGUGCAUUACCUUUAACGCCUGCGUCUAAGUAGACAUGAAAUGCACUUUGUAGCUCUUAUUAUGUUGUUUCUUCUUGUCUAGAUCUUUGCUUGUGUUGUUCUUGCUCUCAAAUGUACGUCACUUUGGAUAAGAGCAUCUGCUAAAUGAAAUUGUAACAUUGUAAUUUUAUAAAUCUUAAAACCUGUAUACUAUCCUUUUCACAUUGAAAUAACAUUGGCAAUGCACAUUUAGUGUUUCAAAACAAUUAAAUAAAAAUUGAAUUUUCACAGAUAGAUGAAUCUCCUUCAUAAAAAAAAGGCAUUAUAAACUUAAAACCUGCCAAACAAGACCAUCCUGCUCUGUAGUGUCUUCAUUGUUUUCUUGUCGUUACCUACUCAAAACAUUUGCUUCAUGUUUCAUAAUUUGUCAUUUUACAAACAUUGUCAUCUUAUUUAGGAUGGCAACAGUGGAGGAGGCUACCAGAGGACUGAGCAGUCAAAACAAAGAGCAGUUGAGGGCAAAAAGAGACAGUGGCUGAAAUUAAGCAUUGCAAAAAAUAUUGUUUGUGCCUGCAGAGCUAUAGACUGCAGUUUCAGGGCGGCAAUUCUAGGAUCACAUCUCUGUGAUUCUGGUGGUGUUGCAGCAGUUCUGGUUAUGGUUAGGGUGACAGUCACAGUAAGACACUGAAAUAGUGUCUAACUCAAAAAAUGUGGUUCUGAGCAGGAUUAGUUGAUACUAUUGCAUACAGGAUCUUAUGUAGUCAAAUUGUGGUUCCACAAAUGUGGUCCUAAAUCUGCAGCCUCUGAGUCUGCAGACAGGUGCUGCUUGUUUUAAGGCAAACCAUUAAAGCUGUUGAUUCUUAAGAACAAAACAAUCAGCUGAAAGAAGCCCCUACACUAAAUUAAAGUAAACAAAGCACAACAUUUCUUCGCAUCUCUUACCAUAAUAGACCUUAUUUUCACCACACAGUCUUAUGAUGCAGUUAGAUAUGAUCACCAACAUUUACAACAAAAUCAAACAAACAAAAAAAAAAAAAACACAGUCCAAUAUACCUUAAAAAUAGAUGUACCUUUUCUCUCCUAUCAAUUAGAGUGUUCUUUCUAAUGCUCCUGUAAUUUAGUCUUUUUAUAAAAGUAUCUGUCAAUGACAAAGCACCACAUUGUCUGAUAAAGCCCUAAAGGAAUAUUUCUCUCUCACUAAACUAAACUUUUGUUUAUCAAGAAAAAAAAGAAAAGCGAUGGAAAUGUCUAAGAACAGUGAGAGUCUAGAUAGUUUUUGCUGUCCCUUGAGGGCUCAGUGAUAACAUUUUAUGGGCUGGUUCCUGGAUUAUAUUUCUUCGUUUAUUUGAAGUUUACAAGUUUUGACUGAACAAAACAGCCAUUGAAUUCUCCCCAUGACUCAUGCAGUGAGAACCUGGACCUAUUUGAACAAUUCUGUCACAGUAAAAGUUUUGGUUUAUGGAGGAUUAAUUUGAACCAUAAACUGAUUUCAUUUCUUACUGUUGUGUUGUUGUGAAAUGAAAGUCUUUUGGGGUGAGGGAGGAGUUUUUAUGACCUUGCUUUUUAGUUUAAAUCUGCCCUGCAAAGAUUUUCAAACCUCAAUUUCCCAGGGGACUGAAACACUGUGCAGAAGUCCCAUCACUAUUUUUGCAUUUGUCUGCACUGUAAUCCUGUUUAUUUGGAUUUGACACAUGCAUUACUGUCCCCAUCUGUAUCUGAAGUCCAACACCUCUCACUGAAACACAUGCAUAUAUAAGACAAACAUCACCCAACUUCACAUCCAGUCUAAACUACAGCAAUCAAGAGGAGUCAAACCACACAGCAAGAUGUUUUCAUGCUUACCUUCUUCUUCUUCUUCCUCUUCUUCUGCAUCCGUCCUCCCUCCUUCUCUCUUUAUCUGCCUCUGGAUGAACAGAUGGGUCCUUUCUCUUCUCUUGCUUCUUCAGUCAAAGCUUGCUUGUAACCCCCGCCCCUUAAACCUCCACCCACCCACCCGCUGACACAUGCAUGUCGCUGAAAAGCCCCUCUCUCACUCAAGAAAAUUUUGAUUCAGAGUCACCAUUUUCUUGGUCAAACAUAAAUAAAACAAUAUGAUUUUAUUGCACUUAACAGUGAAAUUUAAACAAUUACUGCGGUCAGCUCUCUCUGGAUUUCUGUGUUUAACUCAGUUUGAGGAUUAGUCAGUGUCACAUAGCAGAGAUGGCUUUAGAUUUUGUGCGUGUUUGCAUGUGUGCAACAGCUGCAUAUUCCUGUGUAUCUUCACUCAUGGUAAGGCAUUAACAUUUUACACACAAUCCUCUUAACGCACAGAUUAAAAACUAAAAAUGAGGAAGAACAGAUUUGCUUCUAUCUGUCUCCCUGUUUCCUUUUUUCUCAUGUGCUUUCUUUGUGUUUAAGCCUUUGGACUGAUUCCGACAGACAGUCUAGCCUCUUUUUUUGACAGAUAUCUUUCUAGUACACUCUUGAGAUUUACUGAUGAAUUAGAUGUUGAAGAAGUUGCUAUGGAGAGGGAUUUCUUUCUUUAAAUACUGAUCACAGCUCGAUAAAAGUGCAUGUUCCUCUUUUCCAUGCUGCUUCAGCUUCCUGUCAAUACUAAUAAUCUUUCUCUCUCUCUUGAGUUGUGUUUCUAUUAGCGUCUGAAGCGUCCCACUGGGAUAAUUUAGUUCCAUCUAAUCUGCUCUUUGUCUGCUGGGGGAUCACCAAACCUGAUUCCUCUGAUGCAUUUCUACAGGGCAGGCAGAUCGAGUGACUGACUGAUGCGCCACACGCUCCAGAAAGUGGAAGAUAAGUGAGAUGAAAUAUCAGAAUUUAAAAAUGUAUAUGCUUUUCUUCUGCAACAAGAUAUUUCUUAAGUAGUGCUGUUGCUGUCGGUUCAAGUGUUUUGUCCCCCCAGAACUGAUUGGUAGAUUUUUUGAGAUUAAAUUACUAAGCAUGGGUUUCUCCAGGCUUUAACUCAGAGACAGUGUACAGUGAGGAGGGGUGUAUGCAAAAUUGAUUCUUGAUAGUGUGAACAAGACCCUGUUCCACAACAGGCCAGAAACUGAAGACACAAAUAAACUGACACUUGGCAUUGAUCUGAAGAUGAUUUUAUUGAUUUAAAAAUGAUUUAAAUGUCCCCAGAUUCAAUGGUGGGAAGUGCUUCCAUGGCUGCUUACAGCUCAAACUGAACAUACAGUGUGUAAAAAUGGGACAGUUAACCGGUAUCUAGACAUCAGAUUUUAGACUGAAGCUCUCCCCUCCUACUAAACACAUUUACAGCCAGGUUCAACAAACAGCUCUGCUCUGAGGAGCUUGGGGCUCCCAUGACACCCACUGUAAGGGGAGCGACAUGGGGGGGCUGAAGGUCUAUCUUUGAUGGGUUGACAGAAGUCAGAUUAAGUCAGCAUUUCCAACAUCCACUGAUAACUCAGCUUUACAAACAAAUGGGCGCCGUCACCGACAUUAUGUCCAGUUAUGAUACUGUCAUGGUUCUGGUUCUGUGCCACUGUAAAAACAUGGCAGUGCAAGAUGGUGGCCUCCAUGGAAGGGUGCCCCCUCCUGAUAGAUAGAAGAGACUCAUUCGAAGUAAUCUAAAACACUAUUAUUUUUAUUUCACACUGAUUUAAACAUACUUAUAGAUAUAUAUAUCAUAUACCAUUUCUCUCAAGUCCAUUGUCGUAUCUACAACACACUGUAUCUUUAAAAUCAAUAUUUCAUUUAUGAAGUCUUAACAAAAGCUCACUUCAUUGUUUAUCAAUUUCACAAAAUAUGCUUUUUGUUGGCAUUUUUAACAGAUGUAGGAGAUAACAGCAACCAAUCACUGAGCCUGGGGGCCUCCAAAACCCUGUUUAGUGUGGCUUUGCUUUUCUAGACAAAAUAAAUAACAAUAUAAUUUUAAAUCACAAAUCUAUUGAAUCUAUUUUUAAUGAGCUUAUUACAUUCAUGUAUUUAUUUUAGAAAUAAGAGAACUCUCUAUGAUAGCUUUGUGAUGCCUUUAUAAUCCAUUUUCUUCCUUCGUAUGUAGGUAAAAUGCCAUCUUCUUUCUAUUUCAUGAAAUUUUAAAGUCAAUUAUUCGGUCUAUUACAGUGUUUAGAUCCCACCUUUUCAACUAAAUUUAUACUGCUACAUCUUUUCCUCUAAAAGGUAGAAAUUUUGCAUUAAAAUGAGAUUUAACAACAGAAUAGUACAGUAUUUUUAUGCAAUCACUCUGUCUUCCUUUUAUCAAGUUUUUCUACCUUAAAAAUCCUGGAACCUGAAUUUCCUGGUUGUAUGGAGAUGAAAUGUUUUCUCCAUCACUGUGGCAACAGGCUACUUCCUCACGCAUGCAGCUGCUGGGACAGGUCAGAGGUCACUCUGGGGUAAUGGGUGAUGGAUGCUGGGGUGGGGACCUUGUUAAUACAUGAAUAGAGCUGUGUGUCUGGGGCUGUGUGGGGCUCAUUUUGUUGUUGUCCAUAGCAACAAAAACGCUCUUUCUGGACCUCAUGGUGAGUCUGUUGACUUCUCUGGGUGUCUGUCUCUGUCGUUCUGCACCCACAGACUACCUCAGUCAUACUUUAACAGAAAAUAAAGCUUUAAAGAGCUAAACUCCAGCUACCUGAAUCCUGUUUUAGCCUGAAAAGUCUCCUCUUCUGUGGAUAUUUGAUGUGUGGAACCAUUAGCAUGAACUUAGCAGCCUGUAUAUUAACUUUAAAAAUAGUUGUUGACACGCUGACGCUGGUCUGAUGGAGCUGACCUGUAGUGAUGGAUUAUGAGAUGGUGGUAAACCGCCAAAGGAGCUUCAGCUGGAGAAGAGGAGUAGUCCACAAAGAAAGCAGUGUUAAACUGAGAUUACUAAUGUGGACGUCAGAAUGAGAGGACAGUGAUGACGUUCAUGGAGCCUUUGUGUCAUUUAUAGGAUUGAUUAAUGCUCAGAUGACAAUACUGUACUGUCAAACUAGAUUUAAUCAUAAGAACUCAGACCCUAUUCAGGAUAAGGCAACAUUUAUUUAUUCUUUGUAGACUAUGUAUGAUCUAGUAUUAGGGUCACAUGUAAAGAGAGAUUUUUGCAGUACAAGAAAACGAGCUAGAAAAAAAAACAAUAACAAAAGUGGAGACAAAUAAAGACAGAUUUGCAGCAGUACGAAAUGACACAUAAAAAGUGGAGAUGCCGGGGAUUGAACCCGGGGCCUCAUACAUGCAAAGCAUGCGCUCUACCACUGAGCUACAUCCCCUGUCUGGGCACAAAGGGGGAUUAUCGUAUUAUAAAUAAAUAAUUCGGAGUGUAAUGAGCCAAAACAAUAUUGGAAGUAGCGGAAAUAAGCAUUAAACGAUACAGUAAACCAUACAUGAUGACGUAAAUUAGCGACAGACACAUUAAUUUACUCUAUCUAUUACAGAGUGACGCCGAUUAAAAUAACUAAGCUGUGUAGACAAUCAAAAAGAAAGGAUUUCUGGGAUUUAUGAGGGGAAAAUAGUUCAGUUUUCAAAGCAGAUUUGGACGAUUAUGUAUGGCCUUUUAAUUCACUUUGAGGAUGUUAACCCCUCAAGAUCCGAUAAAAACCAGAGCGAACGAGCUUACUUAGCUUAAGAAUGCUUUACAAAAUAUCGCGAGGUUAGCUGUGACGUGAUAUAUCUUAAUAUUUAGUUUUUAAUCUCCUUACAUUCUCCUGAAAGUACCUGUAAGGAUGCCUAUCCCAGGUUCAUACCAGAAAGAAUGGAAGGUCCACACGAAUGGUCAGUUUGACAAGCUUUACUGGUUGCAGAUCUGGGUUACAGCUUCAGCAUGCUACAAGUGUAACAAAGAGUGGUCCAAGACCAUUCAAGUAUAUAUAGUGGUUCACAAUUCUAAACAUACUGUUGGUAUUUAGCUGACCCUAAGAGAAAUCCAUGUACGGUCAAAACAAAGGACAACAUGUUUCAAAAGCCUUAGAUGAACAUGUGGAAGGUCCCAAGAAGGAAAUAUCAUGGCAAACAUAGUUUGGGGACCUACAUGGUGUAAAUAAUGUGUACAGGGUUCCUAGCUCAGGGAUGGUUGGAGGAGGCCCCCCGGCUCCAGCAAUCUAACACCAAAGUGUCUGGGGUAGUUGAGUGACACAGCUCCAACACUCUAGAGGCUAGUAUGACUAGCUGAAGAAACUCAUCCUAACAGUCCUCCCUUUUUUUUUUUUUUUUUUUUUUAUUUCCUAUGUACUUUUAUGUUAUUAUUUACAGUUAUCACCUGACCAGGGUCUCUUAAAACAAAAAGAUGGGUUGAAUAAACAAAUAGAAGAAGGGUCAGCCACCCCAAACCAGCCCACAACGGGCCGUAGGAUUUGAGGCUGCCCUCUACCCUAGACCAACGACUGAAGCACCUAAACCCUACAAAACCAUGAACCAAAGCCGCGAAAACAAACCUUGUCAACCCACCUAAAGAUAAAAAAGACUAGUCCUAUAUUUUAAGGAGCUAUGACACUCAACAGGUCAGUAUGAAAUUAACCAGUUUCAGGCCUCCCCAUCCCUGAAUUCUUCAGAUGACUCAGAUGACGAAGAGGAGGAGAGCCAAGGUCCCUGUACGGAGGGGGAAGGGAUACAAUCCUUCUCCAUCAGGAGUGUAGUCUGCACGAAAGACGUACUGACCAUAGAAGAAACAGAUUUCAUGAUUAGUGCACGGAAAAUGGGAAAACAACAGCACAUCACAACAGCCACAAUCAAAAUAAUGACCAUAACUGGACCUGCAAUGCCCAUAACCCAGGCAUAGAAGGAGCUACCUCCAAAUAGGGCUGAGAUAUGAUCCCAAGCCUUAAGUCCAGUAGACCCCCCUGUGAGGCGUGCAUCUUUAUUGGCAGUGACAAUUCCCAUAUAGAUGUCUUCCAGAUUCUUAAUGGCUAUCGUCAAAUUGCCCAUUCCUUCAGAAUCAGAUGGUAAGUACGUACAACAGCCUUCUCCUACAAUGGCACACACACCCCCUUGAGAUGCCGUCAAUGCAUCUAAAGCAACGCGAUUAUCCGAGGUAAAACGGCGGAUCAAGUCUAACUCAGCAUAUAUGGAAUUAAAACCCUGCAAUGUGGCAUUUGCCAUUAAUGCCAAGUCAUGCCUAGUAAGUGCGAUAAGAUAAUGAUUCGUAUAUUGUAAUUCCGUGUUCCAAAAUAAGGUACUAAAAACCAAUUGUGAAUGUGUAUAUAUCUGAAAAUCAUCACGCAAUGCAUAAUAACGUGUGGCCAAGUCAGUGGGGUUUGAGUUCUUCAAAUGGAUAUAACCAGUAACUUCAGACAACUCUCUCCUAGAUCUUGUGGAGUUGAAGUGUUGUGGUGCGUAUUCAACGGGCUCCACAAUGUAGGUUACGUCAUGUAACAUGCAUAGACCACACCUACCCCUGAAACGGGGAGGGAGACUACUCCAAACAUUGUUACCACAACACCAAUAAAAGCCAUAUGUAUAUGGAGUGCCCAUCAGAGAUAAUUGGGCGUAAUCAGUAUGUGAAUUAACAAUAAAACGGCACUGGUUAACCUUUAGAAAACCCAUAUUCUGCCCACCAUCAGUGAGGGAUUGACCCUCUAGACAAACAUCAAAGAUGUCGGAUGGAUCUACCGCUAUGGAUGAUUGAUGAGGGGUAAUAGACAAGUUCCGAGGUUAUGUUCAAAAGAUAUUUAUUGUAAAACCCAGAACACAUAAGCAAGGAUGGAUGAUUUUCAGGUACGUUAAAUGAUGUUGCAUGUACAUGGAAAAUAUCGUUUCCAUUUUCUUGACUAAUAGAAAUAUUGGAGUAUAUAACAUAUUUUACGACCUUGUUAAGAAAGUUCUUGAUUUUCUGCACUGAAUGCGUUGUCUUACCUAAAUGCAUUUUAGUAGGUCUGAUAACAGGUCGAAACUUGGAAGAGUUAAUGUCAUGUGUUCUGGUUUUGGGAUGCAUUUGUAUGACAUAUUGAUAUGCCAUGGUACACCACGAAGGAAGUCCUUUGGGACCCGUGAGUGAUUUGGCUACCAGUGCGAAAAGAUCUUGAGUAGAUACAGGGAGCAGUGAACAAGCAUAACAAGAAUUUCUUGUGAAAGUUCUAACCCGCUUCUUAAGUGAUUGGUACCAUAAAUUCGAUUCAAAAAGCUUCUUAUUAUCCAGAUUCAGUGCUAAUUCCUUAUAUUUAAGAUCCUGAUUAUUGUCUUCAAUCGUUGAUGAUGGGUUUGCAUCUGUGUCUAUUUGCGAGGGCCAUGCAAUUACAUGUGAAUCUUCAGUACCAUGGACAUUGUUAUCAAAAUUUAUAGUUUUAUCUGACCAAUAUGGGGCACAAACUCCUUGCCAAUAAGGGGGUAUAUAAGUAUGAAGAUGUUCCCCACACAUCCAAACCACGUUGUCUAGUGCUGGGAAAGGGUUAGACGCCAUUAUAUACAGUAUGCGUGGACAUCCUCGGACUGACCCAAGGAUAUAAUCUAUCUUAGAACCAGUUACAGGAGAAACACAAACCGAUGGUAGUAUUUUUUGAGAUGCUUUAAGAAUUAAAGGCUUAAAAUCCUCAUACAUGUCAAAAUCUAAAUGUACAUAAAAACCAGGCGUCAUAGAUUUCCAUAAAUUAUUACAAAAGUUAACUGUGGGAUACGAUGUCAUGGUAUGAAUAGGAAAAGGUCUUGCAUCUAUCGUCUCAUUAUUUUGGGAUUGGUAUUCGACAAAUAGAUUUAUAGUUUAAGCAUUUAAUUGUAAAUAAGUAACAUUGUUUAUAUUAUAUGGUUUAGUCGCUCCUGCGGGUGUCAAAGCAUAAAACAAACAUUGUAUUUCAUGUUCACUGAGGGGUCGGUUAUUAAGAAGACCGACAUCUAAGUAGGGUGUGUGCUUUAUUGGCUGUUUAGUCAUAGCUCGUUUGACAUGCAUCAUGAUCCGCUGAACUGCUUGAUCACUUUUCCCUUCCUUUUUCAAUAGUCCUUCAAAAUCCAAAUCUAACCCACCUGAAGGUAUGGUGCUGCCAAUAGUGCCAUAAAGGAGGGUAUUGCAUAAUAUCAAUCCACCGAGAAAAACAUAUAAGAUAACCACAAUGUUAACGAGUGGAUGCAUAGAUGUGUAGGUGUAGGUUGCCUUCCUCAAUCGGGUUAGGGCAGUCCAGAACCAGGAGCAGUUGACGGGGGAACCGCUGGUGGAGCCGCUUUGAGCCGUGUCGCAUGUAUCCAUUGUGGAUGGCCCUUAACCUUGACUGCAGUGCCCGUGGUGAGGAGGACUUGAACCGCAGGUCCGUAUCGUGGAUCUUUUCCAGUGGGAUUCAGGCUGCGGACCAGAACGUAGUCGCCAGGAGAAAAGCUAUGGAUCGGCUGCUCUGAAGGCGACGGGAUGGAAUUUAUAACCUGCUGAGAAUACUUGGCGACAAAAGAGAACAAAAGUUUUACAUACUCCUGUUGUGCUUCUUGUAAGCAGGUCAAAUUCAUGGCAGAGUCUGUAGGGACUUGAAGACAUAAAGGAAAAGGCCGACCCAUCAAAACCUCAUGGGGAGAUAAGCCAGUAGUUUUGUUUGGCAUAGCCCUUAUCGCCAAAAGAACAUGGGGAAGAGCCUCAACCCAAUUCAUUUGUCUACCCUGAUGGAAUUUGAUGAUCUUUUCUUUAAUUGUUAUAUUCAUGCGUUCGACUUGCCCUGAACUUUGAGGAUGGUAGGGGACAUGAAAGGUCCAUUUGAUACCUAAAGUUUGAGCAAGUAGUUUGGUCACCCGUGAGGUGAAAGGGGUGCCAUUGUCUGAAUCGAUAGAAGUGGGAAUACCAAAUCGUGGUAUCACAUGUUCCAUUAAGCAUUUAAUCACUGUCUGUGCGUUUUCCUUUCUAGCAGGAAAUGCUUCUGGCCAUUUAGAGAAUCUGUCGACAAUAACCAAAAGAUACGAAUAUCCUCGACAUCGAGGCAUAUGUGUAAAGUCAAUUUGUAGACACUCAAAAGGACCGGAAGGUUUGGGGAGAUGCCCAUGUCGUGGAGGAUGCGUAUUAGGAUUACAUCUUGCACAGAUAAGACAACGUUGGAUAAAUUGUCGAACUCGUUUUUCCAAUCCAAUGGUAAAAAACAAUCGAGAGAUGUAGUUAGUCACCGCUGAAUAACUAGAAUGUGUAACCCCAUGAACAAAAGCUAUGAGUGAAUCAUAUGCUAAUUCUGGGAGGGCAAUUCUUUGAUCAUGACAUUUCCAUAAGUUAUCGACGUCCUUAUAACAGCCCCCCUUCUGCCAUCGUGUAAUCUCAUAAGGUGAGGCUUGCCCUUGAAGUGAAACAAGAUCAUCCAUCGUAUAGGGAGGGUCAGAGAGUUGGAGAGAGGGGAAAUGAGAGACCAUCCAAGGAGAGAGGGGUGCAUUAAGGGCUGCAUCUUUAGCAUAUUUGUCGGCUAAAUUGUUACCCAGAGCAACUUCCUUGUCAGAUUUUGAAUGGCCUGUACAUUUUACAACUGCGAUUUGAUCCGGCAACAUCAUGGCUGCAAGCAAUUCUUUGACAAGAUUGGCGUGUUGAAUUGGUUUACCAGCAGUGGUGACAAAUCCUCUGUUCUCCCAGAUUUUACUGAAAUCAUGUGCCACAGAAAAAGCAUACUUAGAAUCAGUAUAUAUAGUUACACUCUUAUCUUUAGCAAUUUGGCAGGCUCUAGUUAAAGCUACUAACUCAGCCGCCUGAGCAGAAGAAACUGGUAAUUUGUAGGAUUCUAGGCAAUGGCCUUGAUCAUCUACAAUAGCGUAACCUGAAAGGAUAGUUGAAUCAUCUGGUCUCAUUGCAGAUCCAUCACAAUAGAGGACUAACUCACCAUUAUUCAAUGGUGUCUGUUGCAAGUCUGUUCGUACGCUAGAUGUUGAAUUGAUAAGGUCCAUGCAAUCAUGUUCCUUGACAUCAUCUAUGUCCUUAUCUCCAUGUAAUAAGGACUUGAGAUGUAUGGCAGGGUUAGUAUGAGUUGCUGUAGAAAUGGUCAGAUUCUGCGUUCCCGUCAAAAUAUGUUCAUAAUUGCUUCUUCUCUGACUAGUCAUAUGUUGAGUUGUUAUGUUAAGAAGGAUGACAUUGACCGCAUGUGUGGUGUGAAGGGUCAAAGGAUACCCCAAAACUAUGGUCUGCGCUUUUUCAACCAUCAUUGCUGCAGCAGCCACGGCUCGUAAGCAGGGGACCAUGCCCUGUACAAUCAACGGAAGGGAUUUGGAGUAAUAUGCCACUGGUCUCAUUCGUUCACCAUGCGUUUGUGCUAAAACUGCAGAGGUGACUUCCCCAUUGUCUGACACAUAUAGAUGGAAGUCAAGGUUAUAGUCCGGAAGUCCCAACGCUGGGGCCGUGCACAGGAGGUACUUGAUAUGACGAAAGGCAUGUUUCAUCUCCUCAGUCCAGUUAAUAGCUUCAGGUGCAUCUUGGAGAGUCGACCUCCUUAACACAGAAUCAAAAAAGGCAUAAUCCGCCAGCCAGGGUCGACAAUAGUUCACCAGUCCCAAAAAGGAUAACAUGUCAGUCUUCAUCCGAGGUUUUUGAAUAUCCAUAAUGGCCGUCACUCGUUCCGGAGAUAAAUACCUGCACCCAGCUCGCAGAACAUAGCCCAGAUAGUUGACCGAUUCCUGACAGAAUUGGAGCUUUGCGAGGGAUGCUCGGUGACCUCCGUCAGCAAGAUGUGUCAAUAAUGCCACAGAAUCUUGAAUGCAUUCUUCUUCAGUCUCUGAGCAAAGAAGGAGGUCAUCGGAAUACUGUAGAAUACAGGAUCGACAUGGCAAGAUUAACUGAGACAAGUGCAUAUUAACAGCGGCUGAAUACACAACAGCUGAAUCAACAAAUCCCAUAGGCAAUCUGGUCCAAACGUAUUGAUCAUUUUUAUACGUAAACGCGAAUAAAUCCUGUGUAUCUACAUGUACAGGGAUUGAAAAAUAGGCAGAGCAUAAAUCAAUCGCUGUAUAGAAUUUUGACUUUGCGGGCAACGCUGUUAGAAUGGAGUUGACAUCAGGCACUACAGGGGCAAUAGGAAUUACGGCUUCAUUAAUUUUUCGCAAAUCUUGUGUGAAUCUAUACCUAUUAGUUCCAGGUUUAAGAAUAGGAUUUAUCGGGGUGUUGUUUUGGGAGCGUCGUUUAACAAUCACCCCUUGUUCCAGAAGACUUCCAAUUACCGGUCUUAUGCCGUCUUCUUUUUCUUUUGAGAGAGGAUACUGUUUAACAAACACUGGGUAUUUCUUAGGAUUAAUUUUAGCCUGAUAGGGUGGCACAUUCAAUAAUCCUACAUGAUUUGCAUGCAAAGCCCAAAGUUUAGAAGGUACAGCCGCUAAAAUCGAAGGCGGUUGCAAUAGGAUUUCCGUGUGGUCCAUAAGAGAAAUCAAGGGUUUGCCCGUUGUUUGCAACAGUUUGAUAAAGAAAUGCGUAGGUUCAGGACCAUAAGACCAGAUGAUGUAAUCCUUAUUUUGAUCAAUUUGAUCAGGUGUCCUUUUUAGAUAGUCUUGACAGGAAAUCAAAAGAUGGUCAAUAUCCCCAAAAUCAGUUCGAACAGCACAGAUAAAAAAAUGAAGAACCCCUUCCUUGUUUUUCCAUAACAGUACAAGACCUUUUGGAGACAUAAAAAAACGCUGUGGAAGUUCCUCCAUGUCGGUAGGUUCAAUUACUUCAUCAGAAAAGGGCAUAUUGACCGAUUUCAAAUGUAUGAUCAACGCCGCACUAGCAGCCUGACAAGAUGCCAAUUUCUUGAUAUUUGUCAAAGUAAACAGGUCAGGGAUAAAAUCACAAUUUGUCAAUACACUGGUGGCAUUAUGUGACACUUCAACAAGAUGGGAGAAUAGCUGAUAUGUCUUGUCUGCUGGAAUAUAGACUUCAAUACCAUCGGGUGAACACGUAAUGACCGCAUUCAAUUUACUUAAUAAAUCCCGUCCCAAUAAGGACAUCGGUGUUGUAGCACUAACAACAAAUGAAUGUUGCAGUUUGAUGUCAUCCAAAUCAACAGGCAGUGGAACGGACAGGGGCUCUCGUUGUGGGACUCCAGAGAUACCGACAGAUUGAACAGAGAGGUUACUCAAAGGGCAACUUAAGUCCUUUUUCCUUAAACAUGAUGUAGUUGCCCCGGUGUCAACUAGAAACUUAAUAGGUUUACCAGAAACUUGCAUACUUAAUUGAGGUGUCUCCGCUGGUUCAUCGGAAACAUGGAAUUGUGGAGUAUUUACAAUUAUGGUAGAGCAAUCAAGUCUGUUCAUGUCCCACAACUGUCGGUUAUAUCAUUGCUUCCACAAUAAGGAAGAAGCCGCCCCUCUGUCCGGAGGACCCUGGGUUGUGGAAUGACUUCCAGAUAUCAUCCUUUGUGUAUUGGUCUGUGGAGAGAAACCAGAGGUCAUAUGAGGAGGAUAAUAGGGAGGCAUUUGAUUUAUAGGCCCAUAUUGUGAACCUUGGGCCCGUUUUAAGGGACACUGUUUUACCCAAUGUCCAACUUCAUAACAGUACAGACAACGAUCAUUUAUGUCCAUCAUUCUUCCUCGUCCCCGUCCUCUCC
This is a non-coding RNA of Xyrichtys novacula (pearly razorfish), 15747 nucleotides long. The record is from the annotation of a GenBank genome assembly. NCBI's taxonomy places the organism in Eukaryota, Metazoa, Chordata, Actinopteri, Labriformes, Labridae.